This 449-nucleotide ribosomal RNA is filed under the name uncultured bacterium. RNAcentral describes it as "partial 16S ribosomal RNA". It matches the Rfam family "Bacterial small subunit ribosomal RNA", at positions 29 to 523 of the family's 1533-position model. The record is from RNAcentral.
AACGAACGCUGGCGGCAUGCCUAACACAUGCAAGUCGAACGAGAUCUUCGGGUCUAGUGGCGCACGGGUGCGUAACGCGUGGGAAUCUGCCCUUUGGUUCGGAAUAACAGUUGGAAACGACUGCUAAUACCGGAUGAUGACGAAAGUCCAAAGAUUUAUCGCCAGAGGAUGAGCCCGCGUAGGAUUAGCUAGUUGGUGUGGUAAAGGCGCACCAAGGCGACGAUCCUUAGCUGGUCUGAGAGGAUGAUCAGCCACACUGGGACUGAGACACGGCCCAGACUCCUACGGGAGGCAGCAGUGGGGAAUAUUGGACAAUGGGCGAAAGCCUGAUCCAGCAAUGCCGCGUGAGUGAUGUAGGCCUUAGGGUUGUAAAGCUCUUUUACCCGGGAUGAUAAUGACAGUACCGGGAGAAUAAGCUCCGGCUAACUCCGUGCCAGCAGCCGCAGUAA